RNAcentral lists this ribosomal RNA (482 nucleotides) under uncultured bacterium. RNAcentral's name for it is "partial 16S ribosomal RNA". It matches the Rfam family "Bacterial small subunit ribosomal RNA", at positions 30 to 507 of the family's 1533-position model. The record is from RNAcentral.
AUUGAACGCUGGCGGCAUGCUUUACACAUGCAAGUCGGACGGUAACAGGCCGCAAGGUGCUGACGAGUGGCGAACGGGUGAGUAAUGCAUCGGAACGUGCCCAGUCGUGGGGGAUAACUACUCGAAAGAGUAGCUAAUACCGCAUACGAUCUAUGGAUGAAAGCGGGGGACCGUAAGGCCUCGCGCGAUUGGAGCGGCCGAUGUCAGAUUAGGUAGUUGGUGGGGUAAAGGCUCACCAAGCCAACGAUCUGUAGCUGGUCUGAGAGGACGACCAGCCACACUGGGACUGAGACACGGCCCAGACUCCUACGGGAGGCAGCAGUGGGGAAUUUUGGACAAUGGGCGCAAGCCUGAUCCAGCAAUGCCGCGUGCAGGAAGAAGGCCUUCGGGUUGUAAACUGCUUUUGUACGGAACGAAACGGCUCUGGUUAAUACCCGGGGCUAAUGACGGUACCGUAAGAAUAAGCACCGGCUAACUACGUG